UCUAUUUUGUUGGUUUCUAGGACCGCCGUAAUGAUUAAUAGGGAUAGUCGGGGGCAUCAGUAUUCAAUUGUCAGAGGUGAAAUUCUUGGAUUUAUUGAAGACUAACUACUGCGAAAGCAUUUGCCAAGGAUGUUUUCAUUAAUCAGUGAACGAAAGUUAGGGGAUCGAAGACGAUCAGAUACCGUCGUAGUCUUAACCGUAAACUAUGCCGACUAGGGAUCGGGCGAUGUUUCUAUCUUGACUCGCUCGGCACCUUACGAGAAAUCAAAGUUUUUGGGUUCUGGGGGGAGUAUGGUCGCAAGGCUGAAACUUAAAGAAAUUGACGGAAGGGCACCACCAGGCGUGGAGCCUGCGGCU
Molecule: ribosomal RNA, 357 nt
Filed under: Phaeosphaeria sp. DA-2012
Lineage: Eukaryota; Fungi; Ascomycota; Dothideomycetes; Pleosporales; Phaeosphaeriaceae
Description: SSU rRNA
Rfam family: Eukaryotic small subunit ribosomal RNA
Source: RNAcentral